Molecule: long non-coding RNA, 1028 nt
Filed under: Olea europaea (common olive)
Lineage: Eukaryota; Viridiplantae; Streptophyta; Magnoliopsida; Lamiales; Oleaceae
Description: long non-coding RNA (OEUR_LNC013771)
Source: RNAcentral
CGUCAAAAAAAAUUACGUACCAAUAUGUAUAUGAAUACAAUUACUCAUACAUCUAUUAUACAAAAACAAAUGUAAUCUGUAAUUGUUAAAAAAAAUAUUGUUUUUGAGGCUUAACAAUACCAAAUUCACGAAAUCAAAGAUUGCAAUUUGACAAUAAAAGAUUGCAAUUCAUUUCUUUUCGUUUAUGCUCUGUUCAAUUUGAUUUAAUUUUCUUUGUCUUCUCUACUAAUCAAAGUAUAUUUCACGUACGAUUAUCAAAUGAAAUUCAUUUCUCUAUCUGCUUUUUCUCUUCCAACAAUUUUAAUCCACGUGGUUUUGUUGGGUUUCUUCUCUUUCCAACAUAAUUGAAUCAAAACAGUUUGAUUCCAGAACUAUAAACAUAUAGAACUAACUUUUGGCUAAUGUUAUGCCAUAGUUGAAAAAUGGAAAUAGAUGUUAGCACAAGUAAUCAUUAUAUCAAUUCUAAUUAAAUUUAUAUCACUUAAACCCCUUAGUAUUUAUGAAAAUCCUGAAUAUUAGAUUAGGAAUGAAACUCUUAAUCUUAACAGAUAAAAAUAUAUAUCUAAACUAAUUUUUCAAAUAAAGGCUUCCUGACUUACCUUAUAUUCUAGCCAAAUCAAUUUCUCCAAGCUUAAGUUUUCUCGUUGCCUUUUGGAAACACUUCUCUGUUUUUAUGAUUUUUAUUGUUUGAAGUGGAAUUCAAAUAUAAAGACGUCAAAUAUUUCCUGUUCACCUUUUUCCUUUGUUCUCGAUGAGUUUUUUUUAUUUUUUUUGGUCCAUCCAAAAUUAAUAAAGUAAAGAUUAGGGAAGUAAAUGAUUGAAUUAGGCUUAUAAGGUUUGGGUUAAAAAAAUAAACUCAGUUUGUAUUAUCAUAUACAAUAAGAUUGUAUAUCAACUUUAAAAGCAUGAGACUCAAAUUCGAAGCCUCCAUGAAUGGUAAGAUUAGUAAAUACAUAGGAAGAUAGCAAAUUUCGAUCACAAAUAGCAAGAAGAACGCAAGAAGGCAUAUGCAAACUUUCAUAUACAUA